GAUGAAGAACGUAGCGAAAUGUGAUAAGUAGUGUGAAUUGCAGAAUUCAGUGAAUCAUCGAAUCUUUGAACGCACAUUGCGCCCUUUGGUAUUCCAAAGGGCAUGCCUGUUCGAGCGUCAUUUGUACCCUCAAGCUUUGCUUGGUGUUGGGCGUCUUGUCUCUAGCUUUGCUGGAGACUCGCCUUAAAGUAAUUGGCAGCCGGCCUACUGGUUUCGGAGCGCAGCACAAGUCGCACUCUCUAUCAGCAAAGGUCUAGCAUCCAUUAAGCCUUUUUUUCAACUUUUGACCUCGGAUCAGGUAGGGAUACCCGCUGAACUUAAGCAUAUCAAUAAGCGGAGGA
Molecule: unclassified non-coding RNA, 341 nt
Filed under: soil metagenome
Description: partial contains 5.8S ribosomal RNA, internal transcribed spacer 2, and large subunit ribosomal RNA
Rfam family: 5.8S ribosomal RNA (bases 1-120)
Source: RNAcentral